Molecule: ribosomal RNA, 499 nt
Filed under: uncultured bacterium
Lineage: Bacteria
Description: partial 16S ribosomal RNA
Rfam family: Bacterial small subunit ribosomal RNA
Source: RNAcentral
GACGAACGCUGGCGGCGUGCCUAAUACAUGCAAGUCGAGCGAAGUUUUUCUGGUGCUUGCGCCGGCAAGACUCAGAGGCGACAGGGUGAGUAACACGUAAACAACCUGCCGCAUAGACAGGGACCACUAUUUGAAACGAUAGCUAAUACCGGCUAAUAGCAUUAACUGCAUGGUUGAUGUUUAAGAGUUGGUUUUGCUAACACUAUGAGAUGGCUUUGCGGUUCAUUAGCUAGUUGGUGGGGUAAAGGCCUACCAAGGCGACGAUGCAUAGCCGACCUGAGAGGGUGACCAGCCACACUGGGACUGAGACACGGCCCAGACUCCUACGGGAGGCAGCAGUGGGGAAUUUUCGGCAAUGGGCGAAAGCCUGACGGAGCAACGCCGCGUGAGUGAAGAAGGACUUCGGGUUGUAAAGCGCUGUUGUUAGGGAAGAAAGAGUGUGUGGUAACUACACGCGGUAAUGACGGUACCUAACGAGAAAGCAACGGCUAACUACGUG